Molecule: unclassified non-coding RNA, 303 nt
Filed under: fungal sp.
Lineage: Eukaryota; Fungi
Description: partial internal transcribed spacer region
Rfam family: Eukaryotic small subunit ribosomal RNA (bases 1-46)
Source: RNAcentral
AAGUCGUAACAAGGUUUCCGUAGGUGAACCUGCGGAAGGAUCAUCAUCGAAUUCAUAUCCCCCUCCUCUCCCGGAGGAGGGGGACCCAUGAUAAACCCUCUGUGCACCGUAACCGUUCACUUUGGCAGGCUUUGAUGGUGAGCGUGAGCUCACCUCCAACCUCGCGUUCCCUCCCUAAGGACGUUACGCGUGGCGGCCUGCCGAAGUCCUCCCAUUAAAAAAACGUUUUCGAACACGUCUGAAAAUUUGCUUUGAGAAAUCAAAGAAUCGAAACAACUUUCAACAACGGAUCUCUUGGCUCUC